CUUCCCCAGGGGGAGAGCACAAACACACCAUGCCCAUUAGAGGCCCGCCUCCAAACUGACACAUCGUCACUUCCUCCCACAUUCCACAGGCCAAAGCUGGCCCCACAGCCAAGCCCAGCAUAAAAGGCAGCCAAGGGGUGACCCUGGAGGUAGAGAGGAGAGGGAACAAACAUUGGCUGGACAGCGACGAACGGGCCCAACCUGCCAGCCCUGCCUGGGGCUUCACCAUCCCUCCGAGCAUUGGACCCUGUUCUUUCUCACAAGCCCAGUGUCUAAUAGAAUGCACUCUCCUUCGAU
RNAcentral lists this long non-coding RNA (297 nucleotides) under Homo sapiens (human). RNAcentral describes it as "non-protein coding lnc-C10orf143-14:1". The record is from RNAcentral. Lineage: Eukaryota; Metazoa; Chordata; Mammalia; Primates; Hominidae.